Molecule: long non-coding RNA, 202 nt
Filed under: Mytilus galloprovincialis (Mediterranean mussel)
Lineage: Eukaryota; Metazoa; Mollusca; Bivalvia; Mytilida; Mytilidae
Source: RNAcentral
UCAAAUUUUAAAUGUUAAUAACAAAGCACACCUUUACUGAACACGUAUAAAAAUUAAACACAAUCAAACUGAAAUCACAGUUAGUCAAUCAAGCAGAAUCACAUAAUGAGUAUUUCAAUAAUGCCAAUGUGAAUUAUUUUUUGAUAAGCUAUUUUAAGUUCAUUUGUAUUUUUAAACAGUUAUCAUGUAAAAGGAGUAGGUC